Molecule: ribosomal RNA, 284 nt
Filed under: uncultured Thermovirga sp.
Lineage: Bacteria; Thermotogati; Synergistota; Synergistia; Synergistales; Thermovirgaceae
Description: partial 16S ribosomal RNA
Rfam family: Bacterial small subunit ribosomal RNA
Source: RNAcentral
AACCCCUGCAUCCAGUUGCCAUCGGGCGAGCCGGGCACUCUGGAGGGACUGCCGGCGACAAGCCGGAGGAAGGUGGGGAUGACGUCAAGUCAUCAUGGCCCUUAUGUCCAGGGCGACACACGUGCUACAAUGGCCGGCACAGCGGGAAGCGGAGGGGCGACCCUGAGCGGAUCCCUUGAAAGCCGGUCCCAGUUCGGAUUGCAGUCUGCAACUCGACUGCAUGAAGUUGGAAUCGCUAGUAAUCGCGGAUCAGCCAAGCCGCGGUGAAUACGUUCCCGGGCCUU